RNAcentral lists this ribosomal RNA (616 nucleotides) under uncultured fungus. RNAcentral describes it as "eukaryotic LSU rRNA". The stretch from base 248 to 401 matches the Rfam family "5.8S ribosomal RNA". Lineage: Eukaryota; Fungi. The record is from RNAcentral.
AAAGUCGUAACAAGGUCUCCGUUGGUGAACCAGCGGAGGGAUCAUUACCGAGUUUACAACUCCCAAACCCAAUGUGAACGUUACCAAACUGUUGCCUCGGCGGGAUCUCUGCCCCGGGUGCGUCGCAGCCCCGGACCAAGGCGCCCGCCGGAGGACCAACCAAAACUCUUUUUGUAUACCCCCUCGCGGGUUUUUUAUAAUCUGAGCCUUCUCGGCGCCUCUCGUAGGCGUUUCGAAAAUGAAUCAAAACUUUCAACAACGGAUCUCUUGGUUCUGGCAUCGAUGAAGAACGCAGCGAAAUGCGAUAAGUAAUGUGAAUUGCAGAAUUCAGUGAAUCAUCGAAUCUUUGAACGCACAUUGCGCCCGCCAGUAUUCUGGCGGGCAUGCCUGUCCGAGCGUCAUUUCAACCCUCGAACCCCUCCGGGGGGUCGGCGUUGGGGGUCGGCCCUGCCUCUUGGCGGUGGCCGUCUCCGAAAUACAGUGGCGGUCUCGCCGCAGCCUCUCCUGCGCAGUAGUUUGCACACUCGCAUCGGGAGCGCGGCGCGUCCACAGCCGUUAAACACCCAACUUCUGAAAUGUUGACCUCGGAUCAGGUAGGAAUACCCGCUGAACUUAA